AGCUCCAAUAGCGUAUAUUAAAGUUGUUGCAGUUAAAAGGCUCGUAGUCGAAUUUUUAGUUUUAUAGAUUUGUCCCAUCUUUAUAGAUGUUUGUGACAAACUAAAGAAUUUUCUUUGUGGAAAUAAUCUUCUGCCCUUUACUGGGUUGGUUGAUUAGUCUACUUCAUUUACUGUGAGAAAAACAAGGUGCUCAAAGCAGGCUUUAUAGCUUGAAUGCGUUAGCAUGGAAUAAUAAGAUAGGACUUUGUUUCUAUUU
Molecule: ribosomal RNA, 256 nt
Filed under: uncultured Vampyrellida
Lineage: Eukaryota; Endomyxa; Vampyrellida
Description: partial small subunit ribosomal RNA
Rfam family: Eukaryotic small subunit ribosomal RNA
Source: RNAcentral